This 827-nucleotide ribosomal RNA is filed under the name Cronobacter sp. DWSR61. Its description in RNAcentral is "bacterial SSU rRNA". It matches the Rfam family "Bacterial small subunit ribosomal RNA", at positions 54 to 872 of the family's 1533-position model. Lineage: Bacteria; Pseudomonadati; Pseudomonadota; Gammaproteobacteria; Enterobacterales; Enterobacteriaceae. The record is from RNAcentral.
CAUGCAAGUCGAACGGUAACAGGGAGCACCUUGCUGCUUCGCUGACGAGUGGCGGACGGGUGAAUAAUGUCUGGGAAACUGCCUGAUGGAGGGGGAUAACUACUGGAAACGGUAUCUAAUACCGCAUAACGUCUUCAGACCAAAGUGGGGGACCUUCGGGCCUCAUGCCAUCAGAUGUGCCCAGAUGGGAUUAGCUAGUAGGGGGUGUAACGGCUCACCUAGGCGACGAUCCCUAUCUGGUCUGAGAGGAUGACCACCCACACUGGAACUGAGACACGGUCCACACUCCUACGGGAGGCAGCAGUGGGGAAUAUUGCACAAUGGGCGCAAGCCUGAUGCACCCAUGCCGCGUGUAUGAAAAAGGCCUUCGGGUUGUAAAGUACUUUCAGCGGGGAGGAAGGUGUUGUGGUUAAUAACCGCAGCAAUUGACGUUACCCGCAAAAAAAGCACCGGCUAACUCCGUGCCAGCAGCCGCGGUAAUACGGAGGGUGCAAGCGUUAAUCGGAAUUACUGGGCGUAAAGCGCACGCAGGCGGUCUGUUAAGUCAUAUGUGAAAUCCGCGGGCUCAACCUGAGAACUGCUUUUGAAACUGGCGGGCUUGACUCUCGUAGAGGGGGGUAGAAUUCCAGGUGUAGCGGUGAAAUGCAUAGAGAUCUGGAAGAAUAGCGGUGGCGAGCGCGGCCCCCUGGACAAGACUGACGCUCAUGUGCGAAAGCGUGGAGAGCAAACAGGAUUAGAUACCCUGAUACUCCACGCCGUACACGAUGUCGACUUGGAUGUUGCGCUCGUGAGGCGUGUCUGCAGAACUAACGCGAUAAGUCGACGGC